RNAcentral lists this ribosomal RNA (585 nucleotides) under uncultured Amanitaceae. RNAcentral's name for it is "eukaryotic LSU rRNA". The stretch from base 223 to 376 matches the Rfam family "5.8S ribosomal RNA". The record is from RNAcentral. Lineage: Eukaryota; Fungi; Basidiomycota; Agaricomycetes; Agaricales; Amanitaceae.
UCCGUAAGUGAACCUGCGGAAGGAUCAUUAUCGAACGGAACUUUUGGCUGGGGAGCUUGUUGUGCUGGCCCUUUGGGGGGCACUGUGAACGCGGAGUCCCCUGGUCAUUUUGUUUGUUCUUUUUCCACCUGUGCACUGCCUGUAGACCUAGUGUCUAUGACAUGUUUAUACACACACACGUUGUAUUGUAUUGGACGGCGUCUCUUAUAUGAUAAAUAAUACAACUUUCAACAAUGGAUCUCUUGGCUCUCGCAUCGAUGAAGAACGCAGCGAAAUGUGAUAAGUAAUGUGAAUUGCAGAAUCCAGUGAAUCAUCGAAUCUUCGAACGCAUCUUGCGCUCCUUGGCAUUCUGAGGAGCAUGCCUGUUUGAGUGUCAUUGAACUUAUCGAACCGCUUUUUCCCCUCGGGGGGGAGCGUUUCGGACUUUGGGAGCGCUCUUGCUGGCCUUUGCCAGCUCUCCUAAAAAGCAUUAGUCGGCAGACAAACUCAGCGUGAUAACUUUCUUAUGCUGGUCUCUGCUCGUUAAAGGCUCUUUGAAUUUGACCUCGAAUCAGGUAGGACUACCCGCUGAACUUAAGCAUAUCA